This 253-nucleotide ribosomal RNA is filed under the name uncultured bacterium. Its description in RNAcentral is "partial 16S ribosomal RNA". It matches the Rfam family "Bacterial small subunit ribosomal RNA", at positions 524 to 776 of the family's 1533-position model. The record is from RNAcentral.
GACGAAGGAUGCAAGCGUUAUCCGGAUUCAUUGGGUUUAAAGGGAGCGUAGGUGGCCUUAUAAGUCAGUGGUGAAAUCCUGUUGCUUAACCGCAGAAUUGCCAUUGAUACUGUAGGGCUUGAGUAUAGUUGCCGUUGGCGGAAUAUGACAUGUAGUGGUGAAAUACAUAGAGAUGUCAUAGAACACCGAUUGCGAAGGCAGCUAACGAAACUAUAACUGACACUGAGGCUCGAAAGUGCGGGGAGCAAACAGG